GGAAGGGUGGAUGAGCGGUUUAAGUCAUACGCCUGGAAAGCGUACGUAGGGUUAUACCUACCGCGGGUUCGAAUCCCGCCUCUUCCGCCA
RNAcentral lists this transfer RNA (90 nucleotides) under Polaromonas vacuolata. Its description in RNAcentral is "tRNA-Ser". It matches the Rfam family "tRNA". From Rfam's summary of the family: Transfer RNA (tRNA) molecules are approximately 80 nucleotides in length. The record is from RNAcentral. Lineage: Bacteria; Pseudomonadati; Pseudomonadota; Betaproteobacteria; Burkholderiales; Comamonadaceae.